RNAcentral lists this non-coding RNA (24 nucleotides) under Mus musculus (house mouse). The record is from RNAcentral. Lineage: Eukaryota; Metazoa; Chordata; Mammalia; Rodentia; Muridae.
UCCUACAGGAGAAGUUAGUUGCCA